UACGUAGGCAGCGAGCGUUGUUCGGAGUUACUGGGCGUAAAGGGUGUGUAGGCGGUUCUCUAAGUUUGGUGUGAAAUCUCCCGGCUCAACCGGGAGGGUGCGCCGAAAACUGGAGGGCUAGAGUGCGGGAAGGGAGAGUAGAAUUCCUGGUGUAGCGGUGAAAUGCGUAGAUAUCUGGAGGAAUACCGGUGGUGCAGACGGCUCUCUGGACCGCGACUGACGCUGAGACACGAAAGCGUGGGUAGCAAACAGG
This 253-nucleotide ribosomal RNA is filed under the name uncultured bacterium. RNAcentral describes it as "partial 16S ribosomal RNA". It matches the Rfam family "Bacterial small subunit ribosomal RNA", at positions 524 to 776 of the family's 1533-position model. The record is from RNAcentral.